UACGUAGGGUGCAAGCGUUAAUCGGAAUUACUGGGCGUAAAGCGUGCGUAGGCGGUCUUGCAAGACAGAUGUGAAAUCCCCGGGCUCAACCUGGGAACUGCAUUUGUGACUGCAAGGCUGGAGUGCGGCAGAGGGGGAUGGAAUUCCGCGUGUAGCAGUGAAAUGCGUAGAUAUGCGGAGGAACACCGAUGGCGAAGGCAGUCCCCUGGGCCUGUACUGACGCUCAUGCACGAAAGCGUGGGGAGCAAACAGG
This 253-nucleotide ribosomal RNA is filed under the name uncultured bacterium. Its description in RNAcentral is "partial 16S ribosomal RNA". It matches the Rfam family "Bacterial small subunit ribosomal RNA", at positions 524 to 776 of the family's 1533-position model. The record is from RNAcentral.